ACGAACGCCGGCGGCGUGCUUAACACAUGCAAGUCGAACGGAAAGGCCCUGCUUUUGUGGGGUGCUCGAGUGGCGAACGGGUGAGUAACACGUGAGUAACCUGCCCUUGACUUUGGGAUAACUUCAGGAAACUGGGGCUAAUACCGGAUAGGAGCUCCUGCUGCAUGGUGGGGGUUGGAAAGUUUCGGCGGUUGGGGAUGGACUCGCGGCUUAUCAGCUUGUUGGUGGGGUAGUGGCUUACCAAGGCUUUGACGGGUAGCCGGCCUGAGAGGGUGACCGGCACAUUGGGACUGAGAUACGGCCCAGACUCCUACGGGAGGCAGCAGUGGGGAAUAUUGCACAAUGGGCGGAAGCCUGAUGCAGCAACGCCGCGUGCGGGAUGACGGCCUUCGGGUUGUAAACCGCUUUCGCCUGUGACGAAGCGUGAGUGACGGUAAUGGGUAAAGAAGCACCGGCUAACUACGUG
RNAcentral lists this ribosomal RNA (466 nucleotides) under uncultured bacterium. RNAcentral describes it as "partial 16S ribosomal RNA". It matches the Rfam family "Bacterial small subunit ribosomal RNA", at positions 29 to 507 of the family's 1533-position model. The record is from RNAcentral.